GAUGAACGCGAGUCGGCGUGCCUAACACAUGCAAGUCGUAUGGGGCUUCGGCUCCAUGGCGGACGGGUGAGUAACACGUGGGCACCUGCCCCCAGACGGGGUCUAAUGGAGGGAAACCUCCGGUAAUCCCCCAUAGGCGCAACAGGUGCUUGGGAAAAGCUCUAGAAGCUGUCUGGGGAUGGGCCUGCGGCUGAUUAGCUAGUUGGUGAGGGUAAUGGCCCACCAAGGCGAGGAUCAGUAGCUGGCUUGAGAGGGCGGCCGGCCACAUUGGGACUGAGACACGGCCCAGACUCCUACGGGAGGCAGCAGUGGGGAAUCUUCCGCAAUGGGCGCAAGCCUGACGGAGCGACGCCGCGUGAAGGAAUAAGGCCGUUUUGGGUCGUAAACUUCUUUGCACGGGCUUAGGAAGACUGACUGCCCGAGAAGCAAGCAUCGGCUAACUCCGUGCCAGCCGCCGCGGUAA
This 463-nucleotide ribosomal RNA is filed under the name uncultured bacterium. Its description in RNAcentral is "bacterial SSU rRNA". It matches the Rfam family "Bacterial small subunit ribosomal RNA", at positions 28 to 523 of the family's 1533-position model. The record is from RNAcentral.